This 207-nucleotide ribosomal RNA is filed under the name uncultured bacterium. RNAcentral's name for it is "partial 16S ribosomal RNA". It matches the Rfam family "Bacterial small subunit ribosomal RNA", at positions 568 to 774 of the family's 1533-position model. The record is from RNAcentral.
CGUCUAGGCGGGGGAUUAAGUUAGGUGUGAAAUCCAUGGGCUCAACUCAUGAAUUGCACCUAAAACUGGUUCUCUUGAGUUCGGGAGAGGAGAGCGGAAUUCCAGGUGUAGCGGUGAAAUGCGUAGAUAUCUGGAAGAACACCAGUGGCGAAGGCGGCUCUCUGGCCUAGAACUGACGUUGAAGCGCGAAAGCGUGGGGAGCGAACG